RNAcentral lists this ribosomal RNA (503 nucleotides) under uncultured bacterium. Its description in RNAcentral is "partial 16S ribosomal RNA". It matches the Rfam family "Bacterial small subunit ribosomal RNA", at positions 28 to 523 of the family's 1533-position model. The record is from RNAcentral.
GAUGAACGCUGGCGGCGUACCUAAUACAUGCAAGUCGAACGAAGAUCUAGCUUGCUAGAUCUUAGUGGCGAACGGGUGAGUAAUACGUAAAUAAUCUGCCCAUAUGACUGGGAUAACUAUUGGAAACGAUAGCUAAUACCGGAUAGGUUGAUUGGAGGCAUCUCUGAUUAAUUAAAGUAGGAUUUCUACACAAAUGGAUGAGUUUAUGGCGCAUUAGUUAGUUGGUGGGGUAACGGCCUACCAAGACGAUGAUGCGUAGCCGACCUGAGCGGGUGACCGGCCACACUGGGACUGAGACACGGCCCAGACUCCUACGGGAGGCAGCAGUAGGGAAUUUUCGGCAAUGGGCGCAAGCCUGACCGAGCAACGCCGCGUGAGUGAUUAAGGCCUUCGGGUUGUAAAGCUCUGUUGUAAGGGAAGAACAUUCAGGAUAGGAAAUGAUCUUGAACUGACGGUACCUUACCAGAAAGCCACGGCUAACUACGUGCCAGCAGCCGCGGUAA